UGUGACUCGCGUAGUAGUCAGGUGUGAAACGCCGCGCACGCACACUCCUCCGUACGGAUUUAACGGCUGGUGGUGUUGGUGCGACGUUAGGUAUAUAGUAUCAUCGAAUAGCAUAGUGUGUCGUACGGCAAAAAGUUGCAUAAACGGCUACGCGAAUUUACUCCUGUUUAGAUUAUUAUCUCCGGUGCGGUUGCCGCCGCCGCCGUUAUACCAAGGUGCGUUUCGGGAUGAUAGCGAGGGUCGCCGAACUGACACGCGGCAAGGAUCGGAGCAGAGAAGAAAUUUAUCCAGGAAUCGUGAUACUGACAAUGAGCAUGACGCAACGAGACUGAAGUUAGCCGUAUGUAUAUUUUCAAAAAGUACGUACGUACAUACGUACGUACUCGCAGCAAUACAUGCGCUGAUUCGACGGCCUCGGCUGGAAAGGAAGACGAGUCAUUUUGGAAGUAGAUGAGAAGCGAAGAUCGAGCGAAAUUUGCAAACGGUUACAGAAAAAAAAUUGAAGGAAAAAAAAAUUGAGGGCGUAAAUUUCACUGGCGUAUUCCACCCAUGUAUAAAACAAACGCAAUGUGCGUGGACACGGAAAGAUGCCCCGAUCUAGUUUCUUAUACCUGGUUGAUGGUACAUCAGUUUUAUGUUAAUUAAUGACUUUCAAUAAUUACUUUAAUUGCAGGUUAUGGAAUUUUUUUUUCAUACAACGUUGCUGCUACUGCCCCUCCUUAUUCUUACGUUAUAUGAGUUAAUAUUAUCCUCCAGGUUCGACAACCUGAACCCCUAGGAUCCGCAAUAUAUAGGGUGAGUCUUUCGAUUUUCAAACUCCGAGA
This 824-nucleotide unclassified non-coding RNA is filed under the name Athalia rosae (coleseed sawfly). RNAcentral's name for it is "misc RNA ENSAEAG00005009856.1". The record is from RNAcentral. Lineage: Eukaryota; Metazoa; Arthropoda; Insecta; Hymenoptera; Athaliidae.